UACGAAGGGUGCAAGCGUUACUCGGAAUUACUGGGCGUAAAGCGUGCGUAGGUGGUGAGUUAAGUCUGUCGUGAAAGCCCCGGGCUCAACCUGGGAAUGGCGAUGGAUACUGGCUCGCUAGAGUGCGGUAGAGGAGAGUGGAAUUCCCGGUGUAGCGGUGAAAUGCGCAGAUAUCAGGAGGAACACCGAUGGCGAAGGCAGCUCGCUGGGACGGUACUGACGCUGAGGCGCGAAAGCGUGGGGAGCAAACAGG
RNAcentral lists this ribosomal RNA (253 nucleotides) under uncultured bacterium. RNAcentral's name for it is "partial 16S ribosomal RNA". It matches the Rfam family "Bacterial small subunit ribosomal RNA", at positions 524 to 776 of the family's 1533-position model. The record is from RNAcentral.